This 253-nucleotide ribosomal RNA is filed under the name uncultured bacterium. RNAcentral describes it as "partial 16S ribosomal RNA". It matches the Rfam family "Bacterial small subunit ribosomal RNA", at positions 524 to 776 of the family's 1533-position model. The record is from RNAcentral.
UACAGAGGGGGCAAGCGUUGUUCGGAAUUACUGGGCGUAAAGGGCGCGUAGGCGGCCACCUAAGUCAGACGUGAAAUCCCUCGGCUCAACCGGGGAACUGCGUCUGAUACUGGGCGGCUUGAAUUCGGGAGAGGGAUGCGGAAUUCCAGGUGUAGCGGUGAAAUGCGUAGAUAUCUGGAGGAACACCGGUGGCGAAGGCGGCAUCCUGGACCGAGAUUGACGCUGAGGCGCGAAAGCCAGGGGAGCAAACGGG